This is a small nuclear RNA of Echinops telfairi (small Madagascar hedgehog), 108 nucleotides long. NCBI's taxonomy places the organism in Eukaryota, Metazoa, Chordata, Mammalia, Afrosoricida, Tenrecidae. The record is from Ensembl.
CUGCUUGCUUCAGCAACACAUAUACUAAAAUCGGAAUGAUACAGAGAAGAUUAGCAUGGCCCCUGCGCAAGGAUGAAAAUGGGUUAAAGCCCUAAUUAAAUCAUGUCU